Molecule: ribosomal RNA, 259 nt
Filed under: uncultured prokaryote
Description: partial 16S ribosomal RNA
Rfam family: Bacterial small subunit ribosomal RNA
Source: RNAcentral
UACGUAGGGUGCGAGCGUUGUCCGGAAUUAUUGGGCGUAAAGAGCUUGUAGGCGGUUUGUCGCGUCUGCUGUGAAAAUCCGGGGCUCAACCCCGGACUUGCAGUGGGUACGGGCAGACUAGAGUGUGGUAGGGGAGACUGGAAUUCCUGGUGUAGCGGUGAAAUGCGCAGAUAUCAGGAGGAACACCGAUGGCGAAGGCAGGUCUCUGGGCCACUACUGACGCUGAGAAGCGAAAGCAUGGGGAGCGAACAGGAUUAGA